RNAcentral lists this unclassified non-coding RNA (230 nucleotides) under plant metagenome. RNAcentral's name for it is "partial contains small subunit ribosomal RNA, internal transcribed spacer 1, and 5.8S ribosomal RNA". The record is from RNAcentral.
GUCUCCGUAGGUGAACCUGCGGAGGGAUCAUUACAGAGUUCACGCCCUCGCGGGUAGAUCUCCCACCCACUGUUAUCGUUACUGUGUUGCUUUGGCGGGCCGCCGGGCCCCGCUCGGCCGCCGGCUCCGGCUGGCGCGCGCCCGCCAGAGGCCCAGCAAACUCUGAAUGUUAGUGUCGUCUGAGUACUAUAUAAUAGUUAAAACUUUCAACAACGGAUCUCUUGGUUCUG